GUUGGUGUUUGCAGAAUCACUGCAACAAGCUCGCGCUGCUCCUCGCCUUUAGGUCCUCUUCGCCCCUGAAGGCAAAGCACGUGUCAUUUCUGAGCUGAAUGAUGGCAGCACCACAGAAGAAAGAAUGUGGAAAGGGACCAAAGAAAACUUUUGCCCCACCUAUACAAAAAUUGCAUAGCAUGAUGCCUCAUAGCCCUGAUUUACCCAUGGAGGCUCCAGGAGUUGGCUCCCCAGAGGCUGAGACCAAGCCAAGCCAACCGAAGUCCAGGGUAGAGAAGAAGCAGAAAGUAACCACGGAGAAUGGUCCAAGACUUGGCCAUGAGAAGAAAAGAAAGGCUCAAGGCAGCAAGCCA
This is a long non-coding RNA of Octodon degus (degu), 353 nucleotides long. RefSeq lists it as uncharacterized. Lineage: Eukaryota; Metazoa; Chordata; Mammalia; Rodentia; Octodontidae. The record is from RefSeq and is a predicted model, not a curated record. The transcript has 3 exons.